RNAcentral lists this long non-coding RNA (4801 nucleotides) under Brassica napus (rape). RNAcentral describes it as "long non-coding RNA (BNAP_LNC001959)". Lineage: Eukaryota; Viridiplantae; Streptophyta; Magnoliopsida; Brassicales; Brassicaceae. The record is from RNAcentral.
CAUCAACAGGGAACUCUUUAACAGCGAGAGUAUUCUUGGGCUGAAGAGACCUGAUCAGCCAUUUCCCACUGGUCAAGGUGGAGAUGGUGUUGGUCUUCUGAGAUGGAGAAUGCAAAGAGCAGACGAGUCGAUGGUGCCACUAACAAGUAAGGCUUUAUUGAUCAACUUUGUCUGUUUUUGACAGAGUUUACAUGUAAAUGUUUGAUCCAUUCUUGGAAAUCGUUUGUCUGGUGCAGUCAACUGCUGGCCUUCAGUGUCUGGAAACGAGACAUAUGUGAGCAUCGAGUAUGAAGCCUCGUCCAUGUUUGAUCUGACUAAUGUUAUCAUCUCCGUACCUCUUCCUGCUCUGAGAGAUGCACCAAUCGUUAAACAAUGUGAUGGGGACUGGAGGUUUGAAAAUUGAAUGCCUUUAAUUUUUCUCUGGUCAUCUCUUUUUUCGUGGAAGUCCUAAUUGUUUUAUCCAGUCCUAAGAAACAACCAUACCAUUGUGAAUGAUGUCAGGUAUGACUCAAGAAACUCUGUUGUGGAAUGGUCUAUACUUCUCAUCGACAACUCCAACCGCAGGUAAAUAAAUGAUGACACCAUCUGUUAUGGUAUAUUCUCGCAUCUCCCACGCCGGUUUACUCUCUCUAGAUACAUCAGACUUGAUAAAUCCAACCAGUGGCUUCAUCACUAACAGGUACUGCAAAUUCAAAACCAUCGAAACAUGAAUCAUGAAACAGCAUGCAAGAUUCCCUCUUCUUACAUUCAUAUAACUAGAGGCUUACUUGGAAUGCAAAGAUUAAUGGAAUCAGUCGUUUUCCUCUAUCGUUUGGGUUUGGCCCUUCCACAAGUUUCUUGUCAACGUGUAUCGACUUGUUGCCAUUAAAGGAGAUCUCUGUGAUUGUCUUGAACAGGUUUGGGAUCCAACUAGUUCCAUCUGGAAGAAUCUGUCACAGGUUUGGAAGAAACAAAUCACAAGAUUAGAUUGGACCAACUAAAAGAAUGCAAGAAAAUAGAUAAAAAUGGAAGAAAGAAACCAAACAAACUCACCUUUUCGUCGCUUUCAUUCUUAUGACACCUUCCACUGUUCUCAACAAGUAUGACAGGAAUCAACGAACCCUGCAUAUCCUGUUUCUUCAGUUGAGCGGCACCACGGAUCAGUUUCAGAAGAGCAUCGGAUCUUCUGGAGACAAAGAGAUCAUAAUUUAAUCCAUCAGGAGGAGAGAACUGAGCAUGACUGAGGACAAGAGCAGACUUCUUCCAUAUCUCUUUACCAAAUGCAUCUGUUAUAGCCAUCACCACCUGCCUAUCCAAGUCAUCAACCCGGUAUACAUCCAAACGGUCCACGUAUAGUAACACAUCUAUAGUCUUGUUCAGGAGAAAUCUGUUCAAGAACAAUCAAAAUUACUAAUGAUGAUUAAUAAAAUUAGGAGGAGUGAGUCAACAACAUACAUACAUACCGUUUGAUAAGGUUGACGGCUUGAUCAUUAACGUAUCCUCCCUCAAUAAGACCAGGAGUGUCGAUGAUGUUUACUGUAAAACCUGACCGUGAGCGAGAGACCAAGGUCGGUCUCAGUCCUUCAGACUAUAAAUAAGAAAAACAAACACUUUUAACUAACAGUGAUGAAGAAAGAGAUGAGAAGAGGACUGAACAUGGUACCUGGAAAGUACUGACUGCAGCAGCUCUCUCGCCUAUAACUGAAUUAACAGUUGAAGACUUCCCAACACCGCCUUUCCCCAUUACAAGUACUGUUAGCGAGCUCACAUCCUACACCAUUUUUAUUUUAUCUCUUCAAACAUUAACCAGUGAUAACAUUACACAAGUAGAAAGCGUAUGAAGCUAGAAAUAAAGAAUAGGAACCUCUUCUUUGAACUUCUCAAGGAUCUCAAGCAGCUUAGAUUGAGUAGCAGAUGGGAACUGCUGAAUACCGAUCCAUUCACGAGACAUUAGCAAAGCUGCCAUGUACACAAACAACUCCUUCCUUGUCCUACACGUUGAAAGCAAAGAGAAGACUCAAUCAUCUGCUAGAAUCUACAUAAUCAGUUUGAUUUCGCUGCCUUGAAUCAAGCCUAGGACUUUUUCUAUCAAGUGGAGUCUCUGGGAACCAUAAAGUAGAUAACUUUAUUACUAAACAACGAAAACCCUUGAGCCAGUUCUCUUCUAGAUCUCCUUAUAGGAACAUAACAAUCUCAUUGCUUCAGAAAGCAUCACUGAUCAUACCAAGAACUAAUAACUUAAGCACUGAUUAAGUUUCACUAAUCGGGUACUGACAAAUCCUAAGAACUGGGUCAAAAACAGAUCAACUGAGCAUGCUUGUAAGUGAAAAAGAGACAGAGAUAGUGACCUGUCGGAGCUUGAGUUAUCAGUCGCCGGAUAUUAGCUGACCUCGUAUCGAAUUAAAACCCUAGGAAUGAUGAAAUUGACUUUUCAAAGGUUGAUUAAUUGCUUCAAUCAAUGUCAACCGGACUAAACCGAACAUCGGUCAAGCAGACUAAACCAGCUGUGAAAAAUUAGUAUAAGAUGGGCUUAAAGGCCCAAUAAUAAACUGAAUCGGCCCAGAACAGUUCUUAACACACUAUAUAUUUAAUCGAAACUAACUCCUAUCAUCUUUUUUUCUAAUUACUUAGCGAGCUCCUGCGAAUCGCGUUUGAUCAGAGUCUCUUGGUAACGUCUUCUUCUCUAGCUCUUCGUCUCUGAUUUUGAUUCUACAGUUACGUUUCUCGAUAAUGUGCCUCUGAUACUCUUAGAUCCGAUCCGUUGGCUCUGCAGGAUUCUUUAGUUUUUUUCGUUUUGAUUCGUUAGUCGAGUCUAUCAUAGUGUUUCGUUUCGUUAGAUAUCAUCACUGUUACUCGAUUUAUGAUUCUGAAUAUCAAAUCUCGUUUGAUCUCGUGUUUGUAUUCCAGAUUCACACUACCGUUCUUAUAGCUGCUGAGAUUGUUGCAGCCUGAAAAUCAAAUAAAAAAUGGUAUAGAGUUUCUAUUUGAUUAUACAUUUUGUUGUUGUGAAUUUUUUAUUGUUUUUUUUAGUUUUCUAGUUUGUAACCUUUUGGUUUAUCUAGGUCGUGACUAAUGCCUCCAUUGUGACCAAAUCUGGAAAAGGUGAAUUAUUCUUGUAUUACAAAUUCUCAUUCCACAAUUAUCGUUUUUUUUUUCAUUAUUUUUUGGUUGUUUUUUUUUACAGUGCUUGUUUCUAGACAAUAUGUGGACAUGUCCCGUAUUGUGAUUGAAGGCCUGCUUGCAGCUUUUCCUAAACUGGUUGGCUUGGAGAAGCAGCAUACUUAUUUUGAGACAGAGAAUGUGCGAUAUGUGUAUCAGCCUAUUGAAGCUCUCUUCCUGCUUCUUGUUACUACUAAGCAGAGUAACAUUCUUCAAGAUCUCGACACCCUCAGGCUGCUCUCCAAACUUGUAUGCUUUCUUUCUUCUUUUAUACGUUUCAUUCGAGUAGUUUAUUUCCUUGAGUCUGCAUGUGUAUUACUGAGUGUGCCUCCUUCUGCUAGCACCUUAUCUUCACUCAAGUGUGGGCAUGCCUUUUGAUUAUUUGGCUGUUUAUAGGUACCUGAGUAUUGCAUGUCUUUAGAUGAAGAAGGGAUUGGCAGGGCUAACUUUGACCUGAUACAUGCUUUCGAUGAAGUCAUAUCACUUGGGCACAAGGAAGAUGUGACGGUUGCCCAGGUGAAGCAGUACUGUGAAAUGGAAAGUCACGAGGAGAAGUUGCAUAAACUGGUAAUGCAGAGCAAGAUCGAUGACACUAAAGACGUGAUGAAGCGUAAGGCUAACGAGAUUGACAAAAGCAAGGUACGUACAUGACAGGAGAGCACCCUGUUUCUUGUGUUAUAUUUGUAACUCUUAUUAAUAUUUCAUAUGGAAUUCCCAGAUUGAAAAGACUAGAGGUGACAAGGGAGGGUUUUCGUCUAGGGGUUCAAUGGGAUCUGGAAGACUUGACAGUAGUUUCAAUGACUUGAACAUAUCUCAAGGUGGUGGCGGUGGUUAUGGUAGUGGUACUGGAUUUGGCAUGGUUUCAGAUUUUGAUCCGCUCACUACCAAGGCGAAAGGUUAGUGUGGUGCUUCACUGAUCCUGAGUUUUCCUGAUAUACUUCAAAUAAUCAUCUUUUUAAUCGUUCUUAAUCUCACAGAUAGAUCACGGUCUUCCGUCACUGCUCCUCCUAAGAGUUCUGGCAUGAAACUUGGCAAGUCGGGAAAGAACCAGUUAAUGGAGUCCCUUAAAGCCGAAGGUGAAGACAUCAUUGAAGAUGUUAAGCCUACUGGGCAAACUAGAGCAGCUGUCGCACUUCCUACUGAUCCUUUCACAUUAACUGUCGAGGAGAAGCUCAGUGUCGCAUUGAGACGCGAUGGUGGAAUCAGUAGCUUUGAUGUGCAGGGAACCCUCUCGCUUCAAAUUCUUAACCAAGAAGAUGGGUUUGUCCAAGUUCAGGUAAUCCAACUUCCAUUUAUUUCUAAAUCUAUUUCCAAUGUGUCUGCCAGGCCUUUUACAGUGUUCUCGAGUUUUUUUUUUGUUAUGAGACUUUCUAUCUUUACUUUGUUUUCAGAUUGAAACUGGUGGAAACCCUGAAAUUCGUUUCAAUACUCAUCCCAACAUCAACAGAGAACUCUUUAAUAGCGAGAGUAUUCUUGGGCUGAAGAGACCUGAUCAGCCAUUUCCCACUGGUCAAGGUGGAGGUGGUGUUGGUCUUCUGAGGUGGAGAAUGCAAAGAGCAGACGAGUCGAUGGUGCCACUAACAAGUAAUGCUUUUGGAGAUUAGCUUUGAGAGGUUUACAUUUUAAAUGUUUGACCCAAUUAUCAUGGAAAACGUUUGUGCUG